AUUCAACCAGUAGCAUAUCUUAUUUUUUUAAGAAAAUACUUUUUCAAAAAAGGUUUAUUUCUUUUUUACUUUCAAUUUCACUCGAAUCAAACGUUUUCAGUUAUUUUAUAAAAACUGGUUAGGCUUGUUUUUCAACCAAUGUUUUGUUUAAAUAAGUAAGAAAUAAUGUUAUAGCAACGAACACAUCUCUACUCAAAACAUGAACGAAGAAAGACACUUUGUAAGAAUAAUAUAUUCGUUUUUUAACAAGCUAUUUUGUUACAAUUAUUUUUUUUGAGUUAAUUCAUUGUUUAAUUAUACUCUAUUUUAAUCUGUUUUUAACAAAUAGUAUUUUUUUAAUUAAUACCAUGACCACACAGUUGAUUUUUUACGUUAAAUCGUUUAUUAAAUGACUUUCUUUUCAAUUCGAAAGAUUUAUAAAAAUCUAAAUCUAAUACUUAAUAAAAAUAAAAAAUUGUCUCCUGUAGAUGUCGGUAUAGUUUUCAAUGAUAAGAAUUUUACUUGAGAAAACUCUUCACGUACAGCGUAAACCAGAGCAAGCAUUUAAGCACACUGAACACAAAGUAUUUAUAAUUAGUUAACUAUAAUGAAAUAAUAACAUUUUUGAUUUAACAAAACACUUUUAUAAUAAAAUUUUGUAAAUCAGUGACUUUUCACAUAAACAUAGUAUUUAAUUUUUAAAGAUCUGUAGUCUAAGUUGAAAUUCGACUUCUGCAAGUAACUUCUAUAUAUGAUGUUCCACAAAGUGUAAAUAAAAAUUGAGUUUAUAACAGUUUAAAAAGAAAUCAUAAAAGCAAACAAGGAUAGAAGGCUAAAUGUACGAUAGCAUCGAUAUUUUUUAUUGUGUAAAUAUAUGAAUUUCAUUAACAGGCUAUUCAUGAAAAAGAUUAUUUUAUUGCAUAAAAUAAAGAAUAUUUUAAAAUGUCAUGAAAUAAUGAUAACUUAUGCGCCGAUAGUAUCAGUCAAAAGGAAAGUCAUAGAUGAUGAAUUAUAAAAUCAAAAAUAUUCUUGCCAAUAAGAAAAAAGCCGUACCAUAUAUAUCGUAUGUCACGAAGAUAUUGUGGCUUUUCAGUUUCCAUUUAGUUUGUUUUUAUAAAUUAUCCAGAAAUUUUUUUUAAAAAAAUUCUAUACAAAAUACAAUAUUAAUAAUGGCAUAAAGCUAAUAUCACAAAACACACAGUGGAGCCAGUUUUGUUACACAAAAAAACCUUGACUACUACCCUUGUUGAACUUCAAUAUAUUUUUUUUAGGUCUAAGACAUGUAGGCUGGAUGCCGUAACAUUGACUAAUGUCCACACGCAAGCAUGCCGAGAUGCAACUAGGAAUGAAUAACCUUAAAGCAUUUUCAAUAACCUGUUUUUAGUACAUUGAAUUGAUGCUGUUUUUAAUCCAAAUAUCACUCAACUUGAGGUUUGUAUAAUUAGAAUUUGUGUUAGCUGGUUGUAUGAAUUUUCGAUUAUUCAACUCGGGUGGAUCUGUACAUAAUUCUAUUUAAUUUUUAAAAUAGAUUUUAGAGUUAAUUUUCCUGUUCUAAUUUUGCGCAUUGUCGAAAUCAGCUUGUGCGAAACCAUUCCGUAAGGUAACGCUUCGACAAGUGUUACGAAUAAACAGUAAUUCUACAUUGAGGAAACCCUAAUGGAAUCAUUGGCAGAUCCUAAAGAAGACAGAGUUGUUAAAGAGGUUAAACCUCCUCCAGCCAAACCCUUGUCAGAUGAGUUGCUUUUUCCAAAUAACAAUCGUGUACCAGACUGGAAAACUUUAAAAAAACAUUUUGAAAAGGAAGGUCGUUUAUCUACUCAGCAUUGUUUAGAAUUGAUUCGUGCAGUGUCCAAAAUAACUUCGAAUGAAUCAAAUUUAUUAUUUCUAGCUUCACCUAUAACAAUUGUUGGUGAUAUUCAUGGUCAAUAUUAUGACUUGAUUAAAUUAUUAGAAGUCGGAGGUGACCCCGAAGUUGUUCAAUAUGUAUUUCUUGGAGAUUAUGUAGACCGAGGUUCUUUUUCUAUUGAGGUUAUUCUUUUAUUAUAUACAUUGAAGUUAUGUCGCCCUCAUGAUGUUUGGCUAUUACGAGGGAAUCAUGAGUGUCGUCAAAUGACUGUAUUUUUCAAUUUUCGAGAAGAAUGCAUUUACAAGUAUGAUUUAUCUGUUUAUUAUGCUUUCAUGGAGUCUUUUGAUACACUACCACUUGCUGCGGUCAUUGACAAUAAGUUACUGUGUGUUCAUGGAGGCCUCUCACCAGAUUUGCAUCAUUUAAAUCAGAUUAACGCCAUUAAUCGAUUUAGAGAACCACCACGCGCAGGUAUUUUUUGUGAUUUACUUUGGUCGGAUCCAAUAGAUCAAGAUAAAAUUCCUGUUGGAUCAGUUUCAAAUGAUCCUUUUAUUCCUAAUGACGUAAGGGGUUGUAGUUUCUUUUUUGGAUACGAAGCUGCACUCGAAUUUCUGCAAAAAAAUCAUUUAUUGUCGAUUGUACGAGCUCAUGAGGCCCAGUUAGAAGGGUUUAAAUUGCAUAAAGCUAACGCAGGAAGCGGAUUUCCAACUGUCAUAACUAUUUUCUCAGCUCCAAAUUAUUGUGAUUGUUACAACAAUAAGGGCGCUGUUCUUAAAUUUCAAAAUAAUACUUUAAAUAUACAACAAUUCAAUUUCUCGCCUCAUCCAUAUCAUCUCCCCAAUUUUAUGAAUGUCUUCACGUGGUCCAUUCCAUUUGUUUCCGAAAAAGUUGUUGAAUUACUUUACACCCUGCUUACACCGUCAACAAAAGAUACAGAUCAUAUUGACGAUGAAGAUGAUGAUUCUAUUGAUGACACUGAACUUCCUGACUCGAUUAAAGAAUUUCUACAAAGCUUUGAGUCGAAACAUAUUCUCAAGUCUAGAGAUUUAGACAAUGACACUGCAGCGGGAUUAUUACCCUCUCAACGCGUUGCACCUUUAACGUCUGGGAUGAGCCUGCAUCGUUCAGUCGGUUGCUAGAUUAUUGCGAUUGUUUCGUACCUUACGACAACAAAAUGAGCUUAUUGUACAACUUAAAAAAGUGACACCAGGACAUCGUAUUCAUCCAAAAUCUCUUCUUGAAGACGAGAAGGAUGCAGAGGAAGUCAAUCCUGAUUUAACACGAAAUCGAUUCACGAAUGAUAAGAAAGUCGACAAGGCAAAUGAACGUGGUCCAAAGUAAAGCUUUUAUUUAUUAGUUGGUUUCUUUCUUAGCUACUGAUGAUAAAUUCAUCGUGGUUGUUUC
This is an RNA transcript of Hylaeus volcanicus, 3229 nucleotides long. RefSeq lists it as uncharacterized. The record is from RefSeq and is a predicted model, not a curated record. NCBI's taxonomy places the organism in Eukaryota, Metazoa, Arthropoda, Insecta, Hymenoptera, Colletidae. The transcript is spliced from 13 exons.